GGGAAUCUUGGACAAUGGGCGCAAGCCUGAUCCAGCCAUGCCGCGUGAGUGACGAAGGCCUUAGGGUCGUAAAGCUCUUUCGCCAGGGAUGAUAAUGACAGUACCUGGUAAAGAAACCCCGGCUAACUCCGUUCCAGCAGCCGCGGUAAUACGGAGGGGGUUAGCGUUGUUCGGAAUUACUGGGCGUAAAGCGCGCGUAGGCGGACUGGAAAGUUGGGGGUGAAAUCCCGGGGCUCAACCUCGGAACUGCCUCCAAAACUCCCAGUCUAGAGUUCGAGAGAGGUGAGUGGAAUUCCGAGUGUAGAGGUGAAAUUCGUAGAUAUUCGGAGGAACACCAGUGGCGAAGGCGGCUCACUGGCUCGAUACUGACGCUGAGGUGCGAAAGUGUGGGGAGCAAACAGG
Molecule: ribosomal RNA, 402 nt
Filed under: uncultured bacterium
Lineage: Bacteria
Description: bacterial SSU rRNA
Rfam family: Bacterial small subunit ribosomal RNA
Source: RNAcentral